This 448-nucleotide ribosomal RNA is filed under the name uncultured soil bacterium. RNAcentral describes it as "bacterial SSU rRNA". It matches the Rfam family "Bacterial small subunit ribosomal RNA", at positions 26 to 518 of the family's 1533-position model. The record is from RNAcentral.
AGAACGAACGCUGGCGGCAUGCCUAAUACAUGCAAGUCGAACGAAUGCCCUUCGGGGUGUUAGUGGCGCACGGGUGCGUAACGCGCGGGAAUCUGCCCUUGGGUUCGGAAUAACAGUUGGAAACGACUGCUAAUACCGGAUGAUGACGUAAGUCCAAAGAUUUAUCGCCCAGGGAUGAGCCCGCGUAGGAUUAGCUAGUUGGUGGGGUAAAGGCCUACCAAGGCGACGAUCCUUAGCUGGUCUGAGAGGAUGAUCAGCCACACUGGGACUGAGACACGGCCCAGACUCCUACGGGAGGCAGCAGUAGGGAAUAUUGGACAAUGGGCGAAAGCCUGAUCCAGCAAUGCCGCGUGAGUGAUGAAGGCCUUAGGUUGUAAAGCUCUUUUACCCGAGAUGAUAAUGACAGUAUCGGAGAAUAAGCUCCGGCUAACUCCGUGCCAGCAGCUGC